UUUUUUUGUCAUAACGUAAUUACAGUGUAAUUACAAGCGUGCUGUUUGGUUGCACAAGGGUAAUUACACAGUCAGUUUAAUUUAAAAAUAAAAUUUAAUUAUAAAAAAUUUAAAAUUAAUAUUUAAAAAAUAUUGCCUUUAUAAAUGAUAUUAAAUCAGUUAUUUAAUAACACAUUGUUUCUUGAAAAUAUAUUAAUUAAUAAUCAUAUAUUUGUAACUAAUAUUGUAAAAAAUAAUUGAUAUAUAUUUUUCAAAUUAAUAUUUAAUUUUAAUUAAUUAUAAAACUUAAAAGAAGACUUUUUUUGUGAGAACGUCAUGGAUUGGAUGUUUGACAAAAAAAUAAUAUUAAUAAAUAUAAUGCCAUAACAUUAUUCAAAUGUUUGACAUAAAAAAUCCAUCAAAGGUAAGUGAAAAAUAAACAACAUGCAAUGUGAAAGCAAAUAACUUAAAAUUGAAAAUAUAACCUAAAUUCAAAAUUCAAAAGAAAAAGUUCAACAUAAUACUCUUAUGUCAAAUUUCCAACAUUACAUAAGUAAGUUCCAACGUAACUUAAGAAAAUAAUUCAAAAGAAAGGAAAAAUAUAAAUCUAUAACCUCAUUCACAAUGAAAUUCUACUUUAAUAACGUCACUCGUUAUAUGUCAAGUUUGUUAAUGAUUCAUUCUUUCCAAUAUUAAGAGGUGUAGUUUCAAAUAUUAGAAUAAUAACACGGUUAUGCUAAAUGAAUAAAAUAAAAAAAUACGAGCAAUUACAUGAAACCACAAGAAGUAAAGGUUGGGAAUGAGAAGAAAGAAAACAAAAAAUAAAUAAUAUAAAAAGAAAAAUACAUUUUAAAAAAUAAAAA
Lycium ferocissimum is the source of this 842-nucleotide long non-coding RNA. RefSeq lists it as uncharacterized. The transcript is spliced from 2 exons. The record is from RefSeq and is a predicted model, not a curated record. NCBI's taxonomy places the organism in Eukaryota, Viridiplantae, Streptophyta, Magnoliopsida, Solanales, Solanaceae.